UACGGAGGGUGCAAGCAUUAAUCGGAUUUAUUGGGCGUAAAGGGCGCGUAGGCGGUAAUGUAAGUCGUAUGUGAAAUCCCGGGGCUCAACCUCGGAACAGCAUAUGAAACUGCAUAACUAGAGGGUAGGCGGAGAAAAUGGAAUUCCACAAGUAGCGGUGAAAUGCGUAGAUAUGUGGAAGAACACCGGUGGCGAAGGCGGUUUUCUAGCUUACACCUGACGCUGAGGCGCGAAAGCAAGGGGAUCAAACAGG
RNAcentral lists this ribosomal RNA (253 nucleotides) under uncultured prokaryote. RNAcentral's name for it is "partial 16S ribosomal RNA". It matches the Rfam family "Bacterial small subunit ribosomal RNA", at positions 524 to 776 of the family's 1533-position model. The record is from RNAcentral.